Long non-coding RNA from Vidua macroura (Pin-tailed whydah), 382 nucleotides. RefSeq lists it as uncharacterized. The record is from RefSeq and is a predicted model, not a curated record. NCBI's taxonomy places the organism in Eukaryota, Metazoa, Chordata, Aves, Passeriformes, Viduidae. The transcript has 4 exons.
GGACAGGGGGGUGACUACGGGACUGGCAUGGUGAUGCUCCAAUGGUGACAUUUCUUGAUGUGUCUAAGUUUGUUGUGCCCUUGCUAGUCCAUCAAUACUUUCCUGCUUCUGCUGACUCAGAGUUACAAGAGUAGAUUCGACUGAUCUUUAUCAGGACCAGCUCAGAGCUGUAGGGAAUGAUAAUCCAAUGAGGGAUUUUCUGAUCUGGUGAUAAUGAUGAGCUGUGAAAAUGGGAACUGGAGGCCUGGUCAUACUAUGAAUUAUGCUAAAAAGUGGAAGAGGACUUGCAGAAUAAAAGAGAAAGGCUUAAGGCUCAAACAUACAUGCUGUUACAAGUCAGCAAGUAAGGAAACUCAAAUCUACAGGUGCACUUUGAUGAAAA